Molecule: transfer RNA, 70 nt
Filed under: Bos taurus (domestic cattle)
Lineage: Eukaryota; Metazoa; Chordata; Mammalia; Artiodactyla; Bovidae
Also listed under: 3 other names
Rfam family: tRNA
About the family: Transfer RNA (tRNA) molecules are approximately 80 nucleotides in length. Their secondary structure includes four short double-helical elements and three loops (D, anti-codon, and T loops). Further hydrogen bonds mediate the characteristic L-shaped molecular structure. tRNAs have two regions of fundamental functional importance: the anti-codon, which is responsible for specific mRNA codon recognition, and the 3' end, to which the tRNAs corresponding amino acid is attached (by aminoacyl-tRNA synthetases). tRNAs cope with the degeneracy of the genetic code in two manners: having more than one tRNA (with a specific anti-codon) for a particular amino acid; and 'wobble' base-pairing, i.e. permitting non-standard base-pairing at the 3rd anti-codon position.
Source: Rfam by way of RNAcentral
UCCCUGGUGGCUCAGACAGUAGAGUCCACCUGUGAUGCCGGAGACCCAGGUUCGAUUCCUGGUUUGGGAA